Molecule: ribosomal RNA, 381 nt
Filed under: Spiroplasma endosymbiont of Chrysolina polita
Lineage: Bacteria; Bacillati; Mycoplasmatota; Mollicutes; Entomoplasmatales; Spiroplasmataceae
Description: bacterial SSU rRNA
Rfam family: Bacterial small subunit ribosomal RNA
Source: RNAcentral
UACCGCAUAUGUUAUUUAUUUGCAAUGAUAAAUAAUGAAAGGAGCAUUUGCUUCGCUAAUUGAUGGGGAUGCGGCGCAUUAACUAGUUGGUAAGGUAAUGGCUUACCAAGGUAACGAUGCGUAGCCGAUCUGAGAGGAUGAACGGCCACAUUGGGACUGAGACACGGCCCAAACUUCUACGGAAGGCAGCAGUAGGGAAUUUUUCACAAUGGGCGAAAGCCUGAUGGAGCAAUGCCGCGUGACUGAUGAAGGUCUUCGGAUUGUAAAGGUCUGUUGUAAGGGAAGAAGUGCUAGAAUAGGAAAUGAUUUUAGUAUCGACCAUACCUUACCAGAAAGCCACGGCUAACUAUGUGCCAGCAGCCGCGGUAAUACAUAGGUGGC